AGUGAGUCAGGCCCGCCUCCCCGCGCUUUCGGCGUUCUCUUAAACAUUUGUUAGGUCCUUACGGCGUACUUGCCUGUGCUUCGGUCCUUCGAGUCUGGAACUUGCGGGCUCCUCACUGUCCUGUCUGGGCGGGACAAUGGGCUCGGUGGUCCUUCCGGCUGCUGGCCCUCACUCGAUCCGCCUAGGCAGCUGUCCCGGACAGUCCAGCCGACACCAUCUUAGUUAGCUGCCUGAAAAAGCCCCACCCCCGUGCGCGAGAAAACGCCUGCCCCGGUCUGUGCGGCCCGCUGGGGCGGUGAGUUCAGGGUUCACAGAGCCUCGGGUCACGCUGACGCCCUGGGCGGUACCGAGUCACUGCCCGCCCGCGGACACAGGGAACAGCGCCGCGGAGCCCUGGCCAGUCUCAGUGGCCGCCUUAGGGCCCGCAGUGUCCUGCAAGCCCACUUACUGGUCCGACCUGCAGGACCACUUGCAGAUUUUUGCUUCCUGCUUUAUGUUGUGAAUCCCUGUAAGGUUUGCAUUUAUAAAAGAUGUGUGAGAC
Molecule: long non-coding RNA, 541 nt
Filed under: Mus musculus (house mouse)
Lineage: Eukaryota; Metazoa; Chordata; Mammalia; Rodentia; Muridae
Description: long non-coding RNA chr3:107333729-107334270
Source: RNAcentral